RNAcentral lists this ribosomal RNA (442 nucleotides) under uncultured bacterium. RNAcentral's name for it is "partial 16S ribosomal RNA". It matches the Rfam family "Bacterial small subunit ribosomal RNA", at positions 338 to 795 of the family's 1533-position model. The record is from RNAcentral.
CCUACGGGAGGCAGCAGUAGGGAAUCUUUCACAAUGGGCGAAAGCCUGAUGGAGCAACGCCGCGUGCAGGAUGAAGGCCUUCGGGUUGUAAACCGCUUUUAUAAGCGAGAAAUAUGAUGGUACUUUAUGAGUAAGCACCGGCUAACUACGUGCCAGCAGCCGCGGUCAUACGUAGGAUCCGAGCAUUAUCCGGAGUGACUGGGGGUAAAGAGUGGCGUAGUGGGUCUAUUAAGUAGCUGUGGAAAUCUGGUGGGGCAACACUGCAGACUGUUAGCGAAACUGUAAAGCUCGAGUGCGUGAGAGGAAAGUGGAAUUUCUAGUGUAGGGGUGAAAUGCGUAGAUAUUAGAAGGAACACCAGUUGCGAAGGCAGGUUACUGGGACGGAACUGACACUGAGGCACGAAAGCGUAGGGAGCAAACAGGAUUAGAUACCCGAGUAGUC